UUUUUGCUCCACAUAUGCAUGCUUUCUACGAUUCGGAGAUCAGUGCAGCCCAAAGAUCACAUUGGAUUCUCCUCACUACACUCCAUCUUCUAACCUAGUCUGCAUCACGGCUAGGUGCAUCCGUUGCCAAGUUCAUCCAAUAUAUGCCAACCGCAUUGCAAGGACGACCAUAUGCACACACACACCACAGUCCACAGGAGACAGAUAGCUAGCUAGCUUACUCUUUAGUCAUACAUACACUUAUAAAUAGCCACCGGCUCUGUGCUCAUCAGCAAGGCAGAUUAAACAAGUGAAGUGGUCCACAUCAAAAAUGAAGUAAUCAGGUCUAGGGAGUCAAAAUUUGGUUGGUUGUCCACUGGAGUUCUCCUCAAUCCACUUCAGUAGAUAGCUAUGGCUAGGCCUCAUUGCAUUGCACUGUUACAUAACUGUGAUCAUGGGGCCAAAAGAUUUUCAAGUUAGGUAUGUAAGUGCUUGUACUUUAUGAAUUUGUAAGUGACAGAGAAUGAUUAGGUUUGGAGUCCCUAGGAGUUCCUUUCAAGCACUUUACGACACACUGUAUUGAGAGUUGUCGUGAAGUGUUUGGGGGAACUCUUAGUG
RNAcentral lists this precursor RNA (597 nucleotides) under Oryza sativa Indica Group (long-grained rice). RNAcentral describes it as "putative precursor microRNA R395ab". The stretch from base 516 to 597 matches the Rfam family "mir-395 microRNA precursor family". The record is from RNAcentral. Lineage: Eukaryota; Viridiplantae; Streptophyta; Magnoliopsida; Poales; Poaceae.